This 635-nucleotide long non-coding RNA is filed under the name Rattus norvegicus (Norway rat). RNAcentral describes it as "long non-coding RNA NONRATT013877". Lineage: Eukaryota; Metazoa; Chordata; Mammalia; Rodentia; Muridae. The record is from RNAcentral.
CAGUCACACAGCCUUAAAAAUUGGAACCAGAGCAGGAGAAUCUCCCUUUCUCUCCACUCUAAGCAAAUUUCCGGUAUUCCUUGGCCCUCUUCCACUCCAGUACUGGGUCUUUGCCUCCUCACUCUUCUGUUUUUAUCAAACUCACUUUCCCCACUGGCCCGUGCAGCUGCUUUUCCUUCAUAAAUACAACCCCAAGGAUACCAGUUUGUCUAGAAUUCUUUCACAGUCGCCACUAAAAGAAACCGAGUCUUUUGUAGGUGAGAGGAAGAACUUGUCAGUAAAGCAUCUUUCCUCACACUUUAGUCAAAUUAGUAGUAAAGGCACCAGUGCAAGAAACCACGAUGUCCUCGGGAGGAGGAACUUUUCCCCGUGUGAAAAAAAAAAUGAAAAGGAAGUCCCUUAUACGCAACACUGAGCCAACAUACGAGGGGAAACGGCAAACCUCUAUAAUAUAAAAAUAGACACAAUAAUCGACUUGAACGAUUUAAUCUCGGAAAGUAAUUUGCAGGGACCUCAGAAAUACUAAACAGGUACCAAUUAAAUAAAGUCGAGAGAUGAUCAGAGAAGCGGCUGAAAUACACACGAGGCCAAAGAAACCUGCCGGAUGCAUUAGUAUUUUAACGCGUGAGCGGCCG